RNAcentral lists this ribosomal RNA (524 nucleotides) under uncultured archaeon. RNAcentral describes it as "bacterial SSU rRNA". It matches the Rfam family "Archaeal small subunit ribosomal RNA", at positions 325 to 849 of the family's 1478-position model. The record is from RNAcentral.
ACGGGGUGCAGCAGGCGCGAAAACUGACCAAUGCGCGAAAGCGUGAGUCGGUCAAUCCGAGUGUAGACCCAUCGGUUUACUUUUGUCAUGUGUACAACGCUUGGCGAAUAAUGUGAGGGCAAGACUGGUGCCAGCCGCCGCGGUAAAACCAGCUCAUAGAGUGGUGAUCAUGAUUAUUUGGCUUAAAGUGUGCGUAGCAGGGAAUUCUAAGUCCUCUGUGAAAUGUCAGGUCUUAAGCUUGACACGUGCAGAGGAUACUGGAAUCCUUGGGACUGGGAUAGGUGUAAUGUACGGUUUGGGUAGGGGUGAAAUCCGAUAAUCCAAGCCGGACAACCGGUGGCGAAGGCGUUACACUGGAACAGGUCCGACUGUGAGGCACGAAAGCUAGGGUCGCGAGCCGGAUUAGAUACCCGGGUAGUCCUAUGCCGUAAACGAUGCUCACUAAGUGUUAGGUAAUGCAAGACAUUCUCUAGUGCCGAAGCGAAAGCGUUAAGUGAGCCGCCUGGGAAGUACGUUCGCAAGAA